CCUACGGGAGACAGCAGUGAGGAAUAUUGGUCAAUGGACGCAAGUCUGAACCAGCCAUGCCGCGUGCAUGAAGACGGCUCUAUGAGUUGUAAACUGCUUUUGUACGAGGGUACACGCAGAUACGCGUAUCAGUCUGCAAUUAUCGUACGAAUAAGGAUCGGCGAACUCCGGUCCAUCAGCCGCGGUAAUACGGAGGAUUCAAGCGUUAUCCGGAUUUAUUGGGUUUAAAGGUUGCGUAGGCGGUUGGAUAAGUUAGAGGUGAAAUCCCGAGGCUCAACUUCGGAAUUGCAUGUGAUACUGGGAGGCUAGAGAGUAGUUGAGGUAGGCGGAAUGUAUGGUGUAGCGGUGAAAUGCUUAGAGAUCAGACAGAACACCGAUUGCGAAGGCAGCUUACCAAGCU
Molecule: ribosomal RNA, 400 nt
Filed under: uncultured bacterium
Lineage: Bacteria
Description: partial 16S ribosomal RNA
Rfam family: Bacterial small subunit ribosomal RNA
Source: RNAcentral